UGGGGAAUAUUGCACAAUGGGCGCAAGCCUGAUGCAGCCAUGCCGCGUGUGUGAAGAAGGCCUUCGGGUUGUAAAGCACUUUCAGCGAGGAGGAAGGUGGUGAGCUUAAUACGCUCAUCAAUUGACGUUACUCGCAGAAGAAGCACCGGCUAACUCCGUGCCAGCAGCCGCGGUAAUACGGAGGGUGCAAGCGUUAAUCGGAAUUACUGGGCGUAAAGCGCACGCAGGCGGUUUGUUAAGUCAGAUGUGAAAUCCCCGGGCUCAACCUGGGAGCUGCAUUUGAAACUGGCAAGCUAGAGUCUCGUAGAGGGGGUAGAAUUCCAGGUGUAGCGGUGAAAUGCGUAGAGAUCUGGAGGAAUACCGGUGGCGAAGGCGGCCCCCUGGACGAAGACUGACGCUCAGGUGCGAAAGCGUGGGGAGCAAAACAGGAUUAGAUACCCUGGUAGUCCACGCUGUAAAACGAUGUCGAUUUUGGAGGUUGUGCCCUUGAGGCGUGGCUUCCGGAGCUAACGCGUUAAAUCGACCGCCUGGGGAGUACGGCCGCAAGGUU
This 550-nucleotide ribosomal RNA is filed under the name uncultured bacterium. Its description in RNAcentral is "partial 16S ribosomal RNA". It matches the Rfam family "Bacterial small subunit ribosomal RNA", at positions 355 to 895 of the family's 1533-position model. The record is from RNAcentral.